Molecule: ribosomal RNA, 253 nt
Filed under: uncultured bacterium
Lineage: Bacteria
Description: partial 16S ribosomal RNA
Rfam family: Bacterial small subunit ribosomal RNA
Source: RNAcentral
UACAAAAGGUGCGAGCGUUGUCCGGAAUUAUUGGGCGUAAAGAGCUCGUAGGCGGUCUGUCGCGUCGGAUGUGAAAGCCCGGGGCUUAACCCCGGGUCUGCAUUCGAUACGGGCAGACUAGAGUGUGGUAGGGGAGAUCGGAAUUCCUGGUGUAGCGGUGAAAUGCGCAGAUAUCAGGAGGAACACCGGUGGCGAAGGCGGAUCUCUGGGCCAUUACUGACGCUGAGGAGCGAAAGCGUGGGGAGCGAACAGG